UGUAUAUUUUGUAUAUAAGUAGUAUAUGUUGUAGUAAAUAGUAUAUAUUGUAUGUAAAUAAUGUAUAUUGUGUAGUAGUUAGUAUUAAUAGUAUUAUGUGUUGUAUGUUAUAUAUUAUAUGUUAUAUAAAUAUUUUAUAUUCUAGGAUUGAUAUAGAAGUAAAGACAAAGAAAUAUUGAGACAAAUAUAUUCAAGUAUAUGAUAAAAAGCAUAUUUAUUGACCAAAAUGGCAUAUCUUUCUU
This 242-nucleotide long non-coding RNA is filed under the name Nicotiana benthamiana. RNAcentral describes it as "long non-coding RNA (NBEN_LNC026240)". Lineage: Eukaryota; Viridiplantae; Streptophyta; Magnoliopsida; Solanales; Solanaceae. The record is from RNAcentral.